This 77-nucleotide transfer RNA is filed under the name Nitrosopumilales archaeon. RNAcentral describes it as "tRNA-Pro". It matches the Rfam family "tRNA". From Rfam's summary of the family: Transfer RNA (tRNA) molecules are approximately 80 nucleotides in length. Their secondary structure includes four short double-helical elements and three loops (D, anti-codon, and T loops). Further hydrogen bonds mediate the characteristic L-shaped molecular structure. tRNAs have two regions of fundamental functional importance: the anti-codon, which is responsible for specific mRNA codon recognition, and the 3' end, to which the tRNAs corresponding amino acid is attached (by aminoacyl-tRNA synthetases). tRNAs cope with the degeneracy of the genetic code in two manners: having more than one tRNA (with a specific anti-codon) for a particular amino acid; and 'wobble' base-pairing, i.e. permitting non-standard base-pairing at the 3rd anti-codon position. Lineage: Archaea; Thermoproteati; Nitrososphaerota; Nitrososphaeria; Nitrosopumilales. The record is from RNAcentral. RNAcentral also lists the same sequence under 2 other names.
GGGAUUGUGGUCUAGCUUGGUAUGAUUCGAGCUUUGGGUGCUUGAGGUCGCAGGUUCAAAUCCUGUCAAUCCCACCA